AUUGAACGCUGGCGGCAUGCCUAACACAUGCAAGUCGAACGGCAGCACGGACUAGGUUACAAGACGGGUGGCGAGUGGCGAACGGGUGAGUAACGCGUAGGAAUAUACCUUAAAGACCGGGACAACCUGGGGAAACUCAGGCCAAUACCGGACAAGCUCCGAGGAGGAAAGCUGGGGACCGAAUGGCCUGGCGCUUGAAGAAUAGCCUGCAUCCGAUUAGGUAGUUGGUAGGGUAAAUGCCUACCAAGGCGACGAUCGGUAGCUAGUCUGAGAGGAUGGACAGCCACACUGGGACUGAGACACGGCCCAAACUCCUACAUGAGGCAGCAGUGGGGAAUAUUGGACAAUGGGGGCAACCCUGAUCCAGCAAUGCCGCUUUUGUGAAGUAGGCCUGAGGGUUGUAAAGCACUUUCGGUGGAGGGGAGGUUGCUUAGGUUUAGUGCUAGAGUGAUGGACGUUACCCGCAUAAGGAGCACCGGCUAACUCCGUGCCAGCAGCCGCGGUAA
Molecule: ribosomal RNA, 506 nt
Filed under: uncultured bacterium
Lineage: Bacteria
Description: partial 16S ribosomal RNA
Rfam family: Bacterial small subunit ribosomal RNA
Source: RNAcentral